AGCUUUACAACAGGCUACAUAAAAAGCACCAGCAAAGUCAGUACAAACUAAAAUUUCAUACAGACGAUGACUUGUUCCUACUGCUCUAGCCACUGAAAACAGGAA
Molecule: non-coding RNA, 105 nt
Organism: Chelonoidis abingdonii (Abingdon island giant tortoise)
Lineage: Eukaryota; Metazoa; Chordata; Testudines; Testudinidae
Source: RefSeq, a predicted model, not a curated record